RNAcentral lists this ribosomal RNA (657 nucleotides) under Fusarium oxysporum. Its description in RNAcentral is "SSU rRNA". It matches the Rfam family "Bacterial small subunit ribosomal RNA", at positions 359 to 949 of the family's 1533-position model. Lineage: Eukaryota; Fungi; Ascomycota; Sordariomycetes; Hypocreales; Nectriaceae. The record is from RNAcentral.
AAGUCUUCCAGUAUGGGGAGCAAAACAGCUAUGGGUCAAGUCCGAUAUCUUUAGGAGAAGUCUUAUUGUGAGGGCGAGUUAUAUAACACCAUAGGACUGGCCGUCCCAUAUGAAAAGAUUAUAUUAGAAUUGAAUGAAGCUUUGUUUAUAUAUUGAUAAUGACAGUAUAUAUAUCGUGUCUUGACUAAUUGCGUGCCAGCAGUCGCGGUAAUACGUAAGAGACUAGUGUUAUUCAUCUUAAUUAGGUUUAAAGGGUACCCAGACGGUCAAUAUAGCUUAUAAAAUGUUAGUACUUGACUAGAGUUUUAUGUAAGAGGGCAGUACUUGAGGAGGAGAGAUGAAAUUUCGUGAUACCAAAGGGACUCUGUAAAGGCGAAGGCAGCCCUCUAUGUAAAAACUGACGUUGAAGGACGAAGGCACAGAGAACAAACAGGAUUAGAUACCCAAGUAGUCUUUGCAGUAAAUGAUGAAUGCCAUAGGUUAGAUUGAUCAAUUAUAGUCUAGGGUUAGUCUAGCAAACUAAUGCCCUAUGAUAUAAUUCAAAAUAUCUGGUCUAUAAAUGAAAGUGUAAGCAUUUCACCUCAAGAGUAAUGUGGCAACGCAGGAACUGAAAUCACUAGACCGUUUCUGACACCAGUAGUGAAGUAUGUUAUUUAA